CGUGUGAACUCCCUUUUUGAAUUUAGGCGUCACUUCGACAACACCUUGAAAGGUUGAAAGUGGCAAGAUAACUUCUCUUACUUGGACUAUUGGAAAGAGAAACAUGCUGAAUGAAAAAUUGAAAGUGGCAAGAUAACUUCUCCUUUUUGGACUAUUGGAAAGAGAAGCAUGCUAAAUAAAAACAUCUACAACCCGGCCUCCAUUCGAGAUGGGUGAGAUGUUGCAGAAUUCUUCAGGUGAAUACACUUGGUCGGAAGAUAUCUUCUUUUUAUGGACUAAGGAAAAGAGAAACAUGCUGAAUGAAAACAUCUACAACCCGGCCUCCAUUUGAGAUUGGUGUAAAGUUAGAGAUUCUUCAGGUGAAUACGAUUGGUUAAAGGAACUCAAGAUGUUGUUUCUUAUCCAGAGCCAGACUGUUAGACAGGCAAGAACAGACUUCAUGUCGGGACCUACGCAUUGGCUCAACCAUGAGUGUUAAAGCUGUAAUAUCUGCUUCCUCUCCACAACCUGAUCAAGUUGCCCACCAUCGAAAACUGUGCAGGACAUGGCAAGGAAGUUUACAAGCAGUCAGUGUUGAUGUGAAUGUUCUUGGAGCUCAACCUUCAUCUGCGGAAUGUAGUUCAGUGGUUCAUCAAUCUUGAAGAACGCCAUUUGCUUUAGAAGUUAUUCCUAAGAAAAAGAUUUACAAGGAUCAGAUGGAACAGAUGUUGGUUUCUCACAUCUUCCCAGAAUUCCAGAGUCUGCAUGGCUACAUGAGAGCGAGGGGAUGUGUUUGUACCAAGCAACGAUGCUCUGCUUGGGAGAAGUCGACAUGUCUUCACUGGAUGCCGUACUGUUGUGGACCUGGAGAUAUGUGUUUAUGCCGUUUUAGUACUUGGAGUUCAAGCUUCAUCUGAGGAAAGAUGUUAGUGGUUCUUCAAACUUGAAGAACAUCAUUUGCUUUAAAAGAUAUUCCUAAGUGUUUAUGCCGUUUCAGUACCUGGAGCUCAAUUUUCAUCCGAGGAAAGAAGUUAGCAGCUGAUCAAUCUUGAAGAGCUUCAUUUGCUUCAGAAGAUAUUCACAUGUGUUUAUGCUGUUUCACUACUUGGAGCUCAACCUUCCUUGAGUAAAGAAGUAAGCGGAAAGUCAAUUUUGAAGAGCUUCAUUUGCUUCAGAAGAUAUUUACAAGCUACUUUUCUCCAUCCAUCUUUUCAUCCAUGCUGUUUCAGUACUUGGAACUCAACCUUCAUCCGCGGAAUGUUGUUAGCGGUUUGUCAAUCUUGAAGAACGUCAUUUGCUUCAGAAAAUAUACCUAAGUACUUGGAGCUCAACCUUCAUCCGAGGAAAGAAGUUAGCAGCUGAUCAAUCUUGAAGAACGUCCUUUGCUUCAGAAGAUAUUCCUAAGGACCUCUCAACUACAUUUGACACACUUAAAGCAGAAAGACGGCAUUUGACACUUCGUACAGCAGCAGGACGGCAUUUGUUCUCUGUGCAUUCAGAAGUAUGCAGUUGCCUGCCCAGUUAGUACUAUCGUCAGGCGCAAAUCAGGAAGAGAUAAAAAUUUGUAAUUAUCAACCUGCGUGUAAUAGAGGGGAAUCAUGAGCAAUUGAGCAUUCAAAUAAUCAGAAUAUACACGUAUAAUGAAAUAUGAUGAUACGCAUUGAUUGGAAAAGGUUUAAUGUUGAGUGGAAGAUUGUAAUUUGAAAUGUAAGCAGGUUGAGACACAUUGGAAAUGCAGUCUCAUUCACGUUCUGUGCUUUUUAUGCCUCUGCAACGAAGUAGCCGGAGGCAUUAUUGUAAAUGAGUUCACCUUGACCCAAAAUUUUGCUAUAUGCCUACAUUACAAGAUAAGGUUGUCAGUCAAGAUACAUGUAUAUGUCCCUCUAUAUGAAAAGAUCUCAUCAGAAAGAUAAUAAACACUUUAUUUCAUUAAUCAUUUCUCUACAGUACUCUUCUCUUUUAUUAAAAAAAGUAUAUGAGAGGUAACUGUUGGCCUGUUCUAAUCACAAAUACAAACGUAAGGUGUGAGAAAUAAGUUUUUCUCUUACCUAAAACAAAGGAGCCAGUACAAGUCAAACCCAUGUCUGCUCUCCCCAAAGGCAAGAUGGAAAUCACAACAUUCUUAUCAGGAAUGCUACCAGUGGUAACUCCAAAAGAGGGAGGAGACAAGAAAGUGAGAGAGUUACCUUAGUUUUUUCGACCACUCGAAAUUGUUUCAUUGGCAUUGUUGUGGCUGAGUAGCAGAGCUGCCAACCAUUGUUUUUUCCGCAAAAUUCCUUGAUCAUGAAGAAAUCAUUUAUAAGCUAUUUUGCAUACAAUAGAUAAUACUUCUAUUUUCUGCAUGGUGCCUCUGUGGUCUUCAACCCCACUGAAUAUGGAAAGUCAGAUCCCAUUUUCUUAUUCUAUUUUUCCAGUUACCGCUUUAUAACAUCCAGUGUUGGUGCCGAUGAGCAGCAGGGUUGUGUGGUUUUUAUUUUUAAAAAUUCAUAGUGGGCUAAUGUGUAAAAAGUAACCAAUCCGGACUUUGAAAAACAUGACCCAUGAGCUUAGGUGCUAAGAACCUCGACCCGUCUGGUCUGGCCUUGGUAAACGUAAGGCCGUAUCCUUAUCCAGUAAUGCUCUACGCUUAUGUAUAACUUGUUUCACCGUUUUGUGGUUAAAAUGUUCCGCGAUUUUAAUAUUAACUUUCUUGGCAUGCUCAUAUUGAAUCAUGGGCUGCCUGAGUAGGAGGACUUCUUCUUCUGUCCAAAUGUCCCUCCGGUUUCUCAUUGUUUGUUUUCUCGCACUUUCAUCUUAUCUGGCCCUUCUUCUAGUGCUCAGACAUGCAGACGGGUGUCUAUGUCGCUCGUGCUGAGACAGCCCUCUUUUCGUUCUACUAAUAAAAUAGAGUUAAAAAAAAAAAAUUAUAAAUUAAUUAUAAUAGAAAUCAUAUCAAUCAAUCAAUAUUUUUAAAAUAAACGGACAUUAUAAAAGAAAAUCAAAUAUAAUUGAUAAAAUAGCAUGUAUGUUGACAGCUUGUCAUUGACUUCUUGUGACCAAACGCAGCUCCUGAAAGUAAAUUGAUU
Long non-coding RNA from Strongylocentrotus purpuratus (purple sea urchin), 3044 nucleotides. RefSeq lists it as uncharacterized. Lineage: Eukaryota; Metazoa; Echinodermata; Echinoidea; Camarodonta; Strongylocentrotidae. The record is from RefSeq and is a predicted model, not a curated record. The transcript has 17 exons.